RNAcentral lists this small nucleolar RNA (77 nucleotides) under Cervus hanglu yarkandensis (Yarkand deer). Its description in RNAcentral is "Small nucleolar RNA SNORD113/SNORD114 family (ENSCHYG00000012683.1)". It matches the Rfam family "Small nucleolar RNA SNORD113/SNORD114 family". Rfam says of the family: The imprinted human domain at 14q32 contains two clusters of tandemly repeated small nucleolar RNAs named 14q(I) and 14q(II) snoRNAs. These two clusters are named SNORD113 and SNORD114 respectively in the HGNC approved gene symbol nomenclature. Lineage: Eukaryota; Metazoa; Chordata; Mammalia; Artiodactyla; Cervidae. The record is from Rfam by way of RNAcentral.
UGGACCCAUGAUGAUGACUGGUGGCGUGUAUGAGUCAUGGGUGGUGAAUACUAUGUUCCUGAAACUCUGAGGUCCAA